GUGCCUCGAUUAUCGGUGACGAACUUACUGACGACCGAUGGUUUGGACGCCUAGUCAUAAGUUACUAAGUUAGGUUAACUGAGUAAUGUUUUAAGUGUUUGUUAGUUGUUUCAUUAUUGUCUAUUUCACUGUUAAGUUUAGUCGAGUACUCUCUCUUUCAUUAUGAUUUAUAAGUCGAGGAAAAAAUGUAAAUUAAAAACAAAAUUAUAUUUUAUAUUUUAAUUUAUCGUUUACCCUAUAAUUGGACAAUAGUAACAACUGUAACGUCUGUAACUAUUCAUCGACAAUCGAAGUCGUAACUCGUGAUCGUUGGCUGUGUCCGGUGUACUUCUUAUGGAUAUGGAUACUUAUAAACUAACUGAAAAGAUCUAUACCGUCACACCAGUGAUAACUAAUAAUCAGCGAUUAAUUUUAAUAUUGUAUUUCAUUUACAAUUAUGAUUAAUCGGAAUGACAAAGUACAACUACAAUAAUUCAUUGAAAAAAUUUUGCUCAUCCAGUGAAUCAACAUUUGGAGAAUUGGUGUUUGAUUGGAUGUAAAUGUAUAUAUCAAACAAGAAAAUGAUGUCAUACAAAAACAUAUUGAUGAAUAAACUUAAUUGAGACUAGAUUUUGAUUGUAAAACAAUCUUCAAUGCUACCAUAUUAUUUCUAAACAUGCUACUGAAAAUGAAGAUAAAAUAAAAAUCGAAAUGGAAAUAAUUAAUAUCAUUAUAACAAAUGAAAUGCAGCUAUGAAAAUGUUGUUUAAGCUUCAGUCACAGAUUUAAAACAAGCAUUGCAAUAUUCACGUUCAUGAAUCAACAACAAACUAAGACAUAAACAAGAUGAGGUUAUUGAAAAAACAACAAAGGUCACAUUUCUGUCAGUAUAAUUUUUUUAAUGAUUUGAAAUGACUAACUGUAAAAGUCAUACAUAAACCUGUAAUAAAUUAUAUUAAUUUAGAGAAACAACUUAAAUUUAACCCCACAGACUUAUUCAUUACAAAUAAAGCAUUUAUAUAAUUUUUUCCUCUAAUUAAUAGAAGAAUCAAAAUUUGAAUUAUAAUUAUUGCAAUAGAAAACACAUAAAAGUGAAUAAUUUGUUAUAAUAGUUAUAAAUAUAUUUCUCAAAUAUUAAUUAGUGAAAAAUACAGGUGUAAUAUUUUCAAGUGUUUUCUUAUGUUCUAUCUUCAGUUCAUACAGUGGUAAUUAUAAUAAACAAAAUAUUAGACAGUAUGAUUUUUUCUCCCUUGUAACACUUUUAUUCUAACUGUAAGUUUUGCUAGGUUAUCGAAUCUACUACUAGAUAUAUUAAAGGAGUUAGUAAUAAAUCUUUAUCAAAUGCAACAAUUGAAACCAACCUAAGUAAAAUUCAUUUUCAAUUAUCGAAAUGAUAUUAGGGUAGGACA
Molecule: long non-coding RNA, 1387 nt
Organism: Diuraphis noxia (Russian wheat aphid)
Lineage: Eukaryota; Metazoa; Arthropoda; Insecta; Hemiptera; Aphididae
Source: RefSeq, a predicted model, not a curated record